Molecule: ribosomal RNA, 481 nt
Filed under: Zygomyia angusta
Lineage: Eukaryota; Metazoa; Arthropoda; Insecta; Diptera; Mycetophilidae
Description: partial 16S ribosomal RNA
Source: RNAcentral
GAAUUAAAUUUCAAGUCUGGCCUGCCCAUUGAAUUAAUUUUUUAAAGGCUGCGGUAUUGACCGACAAAGGUAGCAUAAUCAUUAGUUUUUUAAUUAAAAACUUGUAUGAAUGGUUUAAUGAAAUAUUAACUGUUUCAUAAAAAUUUUUAUAGAAAUUAAUUUUUUAGUAAAAAAGCUAAAAUAAAAUUAAAAGACGAGAAGACCCUAUAGAGUUUUAUAAAAAAAUAUAUAAUAUUUAUAUAUAAAAUUUAUAAUUUAAAUUUUAUAUAUUUUUAUAUUUUGUUGGGGUGACAAUAAAAUUUAUAAAUCUUUUAUUAAUUUUUAACAAUGAUUUUUGAUUAAUUGAUCCAUUUUUAAUGAUUAUAAGAUUAAAUUACCUUAGGGAUAACAGCGUAAUUUUUUUGUAGAGUUCAUAUCAAUAAAAAUUUUUGCGACCUCGAUGUUGGAUUACGAAAUAAUUUUAGGUGAAGCAAGCUUUUAA